RNAcentral lists this long non-coding RNA (1434 nucleotides) under Sparus aurata (gilthead seabream). Its description in RNAcentral is "lncRNA (ENSSAUG00010000227.1)". The record is from RNAcentral. Lineage: Eukaryota; Metazoa; Chordata; Actinopteri; Spariformes; Sparidae.
AUGGGAGUAGUCUCUGACACUUAUGGCAACUUGCUCUGCCCUAUUCUCAUGAAAAUGAUACCAGAAGAAAUGGCUUUGCAGUUCACCCGUCAAAACGGUAGUGAACGAGAUGAUGCAAAUAAUGACAACACGUUCAGUGUCAAAAGCCUGAUGACGUUUUUCCAAAAGGAGGUUGAAAGUCGUGAAAGAACAGCAAAUCUCACCCAGAGUGUGCAACAACCAGAUAAAGAGAAACAAUGGGAAAAGUCCUAUGUGGAGAAAAGAAUACCGGAAAAAAGGAGAUCUUACACAGCCUCUACAGCCUCGUUUCACGCUGUCAGCAUUAGAGAUGAGCCAAAGUGUAUAUUCUGUGGAGGAAAUAAUCAUAGAUCUAAGAACUGUAUAGAACUGACUCUUGAACUGAGGAGAGAAAAAUUAAUUAAGUGUUUUGUGUGUUUAGGCAGCAGACACGUUGCGCGUAAUUGUAAAACGCAGGGAAUUACCUGUGAAGAAUGUGGACGAAGACACCAGAAAGUAGUCUGCCUUCAAUUAGCCAAUCAACAAGAAAAACACACAGAAGAGAGACAGGAAAGCACACAGCAAGCUGCCCGAAAUCUCCCAGCAGAUGCAGUGAUAGCAAGUGCAGCUCCCAGUAGUUCUAUGAGUAGUCCAGUUUUACUCCAAACAGCUACCGUUCGGAUAGACGCACCCACUCAAAAUCAUGUGGCUAGAUGUCUUUUAGAUGGAGGUAGCUUGCAUAGUUUUAUUCGAGAAGGCAUAUCCAGAGCACUUAACUUGCCAGUAAUAGGUAAGGAAACACUGAAUGUUUUUGUGUUUGGCUCCAAAACACCCCAAAGACUGACAUGCAAGAAGGUGAAGGUGCGUUUAAGGAACAUCAGAAAUAAUCAGAACAUCGAAGUUCAGCUCCUGGAGACGCCCAAGGUGAGCUCUUCAAUUAUUAAAAUGGCAAAUGAAACGAUAAGAAAUGAUUUGGAGUCAAAAGGAAUGCCUAUGGUGGAUGUUCCCAUGAAAGGAAUGGAGUCAGAAGAACUGGGAGUCCUAAUUGGAGGAGACCAGUACUGGAGAAUUGUCACUGGCAAAAUGGAAAAGCAGGAAGAUGGACUAGUUGCGCUGGGAAGUGUGUUUGGAUGGCUGGUGCAAGGAGAGGUCACCACACUGAAUAUUGUCACCGAAGCUGUUGACGUUGAAUUGCUGCAUGUCUGUGUUGAGCAAGAUCAAGCACUCUCCAACCAGUUGCGCAGUUUUGGGGAGUUGGAAUCACUCAGAAUAGGUAAGGAAGAAUUACAUUCCGAGACAGAUGAAACAGUUCUGAACAGAUUUGAAGAAACUGUGAAGUUUGUUGACGUCAGAUACGAAGUCCGACUGCCCUGGAAAAAUGAGCAUGUAACUAUGUCUUCAAAUUAUGUUACAGCAAAAACAGAUUUGAUAAUCUAA